Long non-coding RNA from Mastomys coucha (southern multimammate mouse), 129 nucleotides. RefSeq lists it as uncharacterized. Lineage: Eukaryota; Metazoa; Chordata; Mammalia; Rodentia; Muridae. The transcript is spliced from 3 exons. The record is from RefSeq and is a predicted model, not a curated record.
UGAGAAGAGAGAGAGGGGCAGGAAAUUCUCCAGAUCCCAGAGGCAGUGGCAUGCUGCAGAGGAACAGGCUACAGCUUCAGAUUAACCUCCCAUGCUCUCCAGAACUCUCUGUCUUUUGCUAAAAAGGAA